RNAcentral lists this ribosomal RNA (482 nucleotides) under uncultured bacterium. Its description in RNAcentral is "partial 16S ribosomal RNA". It matches the Rfam family "Bacterial small subunit ribosomal RNA", at positions 30 to 507 of the family's 1533-position model. The record is from RNAcentral.
AUUGAACGCUGGCGGCAUGCCUUACACAUGCAAGUCGAACGGUAACAGGUCUUCGGAUGCUGACGAGUGGCGAACGGGUGAGUAAUACAUCGGAACGUGCCCGAUCGUGGGGGAUAACGAGGCGAAAGCUUUGCUAAUACCGCAUACGAUCUACGGAUGAAAGCGGGGGAUCUUCGGACCUCGCGCGGACGGAGCGGCCGAUGGCAGAUUAGGUAGUUGGUGGGAUAAAAGCUUACCAAGCCGACGAUCUGUAGCUGGUCUGAGAGGAUGAUCAGCCACACUGGGACUGAGACACGGCCCAGACUCCUACGGGAGGCAGCAGUGGGGAAUUUUGGACAAUGUGCGAAAGCCUGAUCCAGCCAUGCCGCGUGCAGGAUGAAGGCCUUCGGGUUGUAAACUGCUUUUGUACGGAACGAAAAGCCUCUUUCUAAUAAAGAGGGGUCAUGACGGUACCGUAAGAAUAAGCACCGGCUAACUACGUG